Molecule: ribosomal RNA, 240 nt
Filed under: uncultured bacterium
Lineage: Bacteria
Description: partial 16S ribosomal RNA
Rfam family: Bacterial small subunit ribosomal RNA
Source: RNAcentral
UGUAGAGAAUACUGCCCUGUACUGGGGGACGAACAAGAGGGAAACGUUACUGCUAAUACCCCAUAUGAGCGUACCUGCGAUGGUAUUCUUGAAAGUUCCGGCGGUACAGGAUGAGUCUGCAUCUGAUUAGCUAGUUGGUGGUGUAAUGGACUACCAAGGCGACGAUCAGUAGCUGGUUUGAGAGGAUGAUCAGCCACAAUGGGACUGAGACACGGCCCAUACUCCUACGGAAGGCAGCAG